This 486-nucleotide ribosomal RNA is filed under the name uncultured bacterium. RNAcentral's name for it is "bacterial SSU rRNA". It matches the Rfam family "Bacterial small subunit ribosomal RNA", at positions 15 to 518 of the family's 1533-position model. The record is from RNAcentral.
GAUCCUGGCUCAGGACGAACGCUGGCGGCGUGCCUAACACAUGCAAGUCGAGCGAUGAAGUUCUUCGGAAUGGAUUAGCGGCGGACGGGUGAGUAACGCGUGAGCAAUCUGCCUUACACAAAGGGAUAGCCUCUGGAAACGGGGAUUAAUACCAUAUAAAACUUAAGAACUGCAUGGUUUUUAAGUCAAAGAUUUUAUCGGUGUAAGAUGAGCUCGCGUCUGAUUAGCUAGUUGGUGGGGUAAAGGCCUACCAAGGCAACGAUCAGUAGCCGGCCUGAGAGGGUGAACGGCCACACUGGAACUGAGACACGGUCCAGACUCCUACGGGAGGCAGCAGUGGGGAAUAUUGCACAAUGGGCGCAAGCCUGAAUGCAGCGACGCCGCGUGAGCGAAGAAGGUUUUCGGAUCGUAAAGCUCUGUCCUUUGGGAAGAAAAAAUGACGGCACCAAAGGAGGAAGCCCCGGCUAACUACGUGCCAGCAGCCGC